This 2921-nucleotide ribosomal RNA is filed under the name Staphylococcus aureus. Its description in RNAcentral is "23S ribosomal RNA". It matches the Rfam family "Bacterial large subunit ribosomal RNA". The record is from RNAcentral. Lineage: Bacteria; Bacillati; Bacillota; Bacilli; Caryophanales; Staphylococcaceae.
UUAAGUUAUUAAGGGCGCACGGUGGAUGCCUUGGCACUAGAAGCCGAUGAAGGACGUUACUAACGACGAUAUGCUUUGGGGAGCUGUAAGUAAGCUUUGAUCCAGAGAUUUCCGAAUGGGGAAACCCAGCAUGAGUUAUGUCAUGUUAUCGAUAUGUGAAUACAUAGCAUAUCAGAAGGCACACCCGGAGAACUGAAACAUCUUAGUACCCGGAGGAAGAGAAAGAAAAUUCGAUUCCCUUAGUAGCGGCGAGCGAAAAGGGAAGAGCCCAAACCAACAAGCUUGCUUGUUGGGGUUGUAGGACACUCUAUACGGAGUUACAAAGGACGACAUUAGACGAAUCAUCUGGAAAGAUGAAUCAAAGAAGGUAAUAAUCCUGUAGUCGAAAAUGUUGUCUCUCUUGAGUGGAUCCUGAGUACGACGGAGCACGUGAAAUUCCGUCGGAAUCUGGGAGGACCAUCUCCUAAGGCUAAAUACUCUCUAGUGACCGAUAGUGAACCAGUACCGUGAGGGAAAGGUGAAAAGCACCCCGGAAGGGGAGUGAAAUAGAACCUGAAACCGUGUGCUUACAAGUAGUCAGAGCCCGUUAAUGGGUGAUGGCGUGCCUUUUGUAGAAUGAACCGGCGAGUUACGAUUUGAUGCAAGGUUAAGCAGUAAAUGUGGAGCCGUAGCGAAAGCGAGUCUGAAUAGGGCGUUUAGUAUUUGGUCGUAGACCCGAAACCAGGUGAUCUACCCUUGGUCAGGUUGAAGUUCAGGUAACACUGAAUGGAGGACCGAACCGACUUACGUUGAAAAGUGAGCGGAUGAACUGAGGGUAGCGGAGAAAUUUCAAUCGAACCUGGAGAUAGCUGGUUCUCUCCGAAAUAGCUUUAGGGCUAGCCUCAAGUGAUGAUUAUUGGAGGUAGAGCACUGUUUGGACGAGGGGCCCCUCUCGGGUUACCGAAUUCAGACAAACUCCGAAUGCCAAUUAAUUUAACUUGGGAGUCAGAACAUGGGUGAUAAGGUCCGUGUUCGAAAGGGAAACAGCCCAGACCACCAGCUAAGGUCCCAAAAUAUAUGUUAAGUGGAAAAGGAUGUGGCGUUGCCCAGACAACUAGGAUGUUGGCUUAGAAGCAGCCAUCAUUUAAAGAGUGCGUAAUAGCUCACUAGUCGAGUGACACUGCGCCGAAAAUGUACCGGGGCUAAACAUAUUACCGAAGCUGUGGAUUGUCCUUUGGACAAUGGUAGGAGAGCGUUCUAAGGGCGUUGAAGCAUGAUCGUAAGGACAUGUGGAGCGCUUAGAAGUGAGAAUGCCGGUGUGAGUAGCGAAAGACGGGUGAGAAUCCCGUCCACCGAUUGACUAAGGUUUCCAGAGGAAGGCUCGUCCGCUCUGGGUUAGUCGGGUCCUAAGCUGAGGCCGACAGGCGUAGGCGAUGGAUAACAGGUUGAUAUUCCUGUACCACCUAUAAUCGUUUUAAUCGAUGGGGGGACGCAGUAGGAUAGGCGAAGCGUGCGAUUGGAUUGCACGUCUAAGCAGUAAGGCUGAGUAUUAGGCAAAUCCGGUACUCGUUAAGGCUGAGCUGUGAUGGGGAGAAGACAUUGUGUCUUCGAGUCGUUGAUUUCACACUGCCGAGAAAAGCCUCUAGAUAGAAAAUAGGUGCCCGUACCGCAAACCGACACAGGUAGUCAAGAUGAGAAUUCUAAGGUGAGCGAGCGAACUCUCGUUAAGGAACUCGGCAAAAUGACCCCGUAACUUCGGGAGAAGGGGUGCUCUUUAGGGUUAACGCCCAGAAGAGCCGCAGUGAAUAGGCCCAAGCGACUGUUUAUCAAAAACACAGGUCUCUGCUAAACCGUAAGGUGAUGUAUAGGGGCUGACGCCUGCCCGGUGCUGGAAGGUUAAGAGGAGUGGUUAGCUUCUGCGAAGCUACGAAUCGAAGCCCCAGUAAACGGCGGCCGUAACUAUAACGGUCCUAAGGUAGCGAAAUUCCUUGUCGGGUAAGUUCCGACCCGCACGAAAGGCGUAACGAUUUGGGCACUGUCUCAACGAGAGACUCGGUGAAAUCAUAGUACCUGUGAAGAUGCAGGUUACCCGCGACAGGACGGAAAGACCCCGUGGAGCUUUACUGUAGCCUGAUAUUGAAAUUCGGCACAGCUUGUACAGGAUAGGUAGGAGCCUUUGAAACGUGAGCGCUAGCUUACGUGGAGGCGCUGGUGGGAUACUACCCUAGCUGUGUUGGCUUUCUAACCCGCACCACUUAUCGUGGUGGGAGACAGUGUCAGGCGGGCAGUUUGACUGGGGCGGUCGCCUCCUAAAAGGUAACGGAGGCGCUCAAAGGUUCCCUCAGAAUGGUUGGAAAUCAUUCAUAGAGUGUAAAGGCAUAAGGGAGCUUGACUGCGAGACCUACAAGUCGAGCAGGGUCGAAAGACGGACUUAGUGAUCCGGUGGUUCCGCAUGGAAGGGCCAUCGCUCAACGGAUAAAAGCUACCCCGGGGAUAACAGGCUUAUCUCCCCCAAGAGUUCACAUCGACGGGGAGGUUUGGCACCUCGAUGUCGGCUCAUCGCAUCCUGGGGCUGUAGUCGGUCCCAAGGGUUGGGCUGUUCGCCCAUUAAAGCGGUACGCGAGCUGGGUUCAGAACGUCGUGAGACAGUUCGGUCCCUAUCCGUCGUGGGCGUAGGAAAUUUGAGAGGAGCUGUCCUUAGUACGAGAGGACCGGGAUGGACAUACCUCUGGUGUACCAGUUGUCGUGCCAACGGCAUAGCUGGGUAGCUAUGUGUGGACGGGAUAAGUGCUGAAAGCAUCUAAGCAUGAAGCCCCCCUCAAGAUGAGAUUUCCCAACUUCGGUUAUAAGAUCCCUCAAAGAUGAUGAGGUUAAUAGGUUCGAGGUGGAAGCAUGGUGACAUGUGGAGCUGACGAAUACUAAUCGAUCGAAGACUUAAUCAA